Meriones unguiculatus (Mongolian gerbil) is the source of this 1430-nucleotide long non-coding RNA. RefSeq lists it as uncharacterized. The transcript has 3 exons. Lineage: Eukaryota; Metazoa; Chordata; Mammalia; Rodentia; Muridae. The record is from RefSeq and is a predicted model, not a curated record.
GGGGCGCUUGAGGUGGAAAAGCACAGGACAUAGCAUUUUCAAGGUUUUUCUUAAUUUAUAAAGUUAAAAGCUUUUUAAAUGUGAAACACUCAUGCUAAAUGAAGAAAAAGGUGGAAAAACUGAAAGGCUUUUUCUCCUUAAACUUGCUUGUCUGCUCAAGCUGCCCUUUGGCCUCUCCUGAUUUAUGUUUGCGCCUGUGAAAGUAAAUUAGAGAAUAGAGGUUAAUUCAAGCAAAAUUUACUUUGCCUCAUUUUUCUGCAGACAAAAUUACUAGGAUAAAUUACAGCGCAAAUUAGUCCGAGGUGCUAUGUUUAAAGAGAAAACGAGUUGUUUUCUUAGUUUCAAAGUCACCAAACCCUUCCUAUUUCUGUCCCUUCAAUUUCCAGAGUAGAGAAGGCUGCAGGCACGCAGAGAGAGAGAAGCAAAGUGUCUCUGCCAAAGAGAGUGACCCCUGCGGCAGGCAGAGGCCAUCAGAGUAGGCGCCACUCCACUCAGAUCAACUAAGUCAGACGCUGGAGCCAAAGACGCCGUGGGGAGCCGCGGGGAGACAGGAAAGGAUGUCAUCCCACGUGGUGUGGCUAGGAGACACCGUACUCAGGGUUCCAGAAGGCUGAGCGUUCAUCUUUGCCUCCGAGAACACCUGAGGACAGCGGAUCUUUGAUGUGGCUGCAGUUGAGACACACGUGUGGAGGGAUUUCUAGAAGGUGCCUAUUGCUGUUGAUGCGUGGGAAAGUCUACUUCAUGGCUGAACACCAGAUAGCCAUCAUUAAACCAGGGCGCGCAGGGAGGCUUGACCAGUGAGCUGAUGAUCACAUAAAGGCUGCCAAGCGGACUGUAGACCAAGAAAUGGAGUUCUAACAGUCUGUUACCCAUCACAGAGGCCAACCAACUCUAGGGGGUGCAUCCCUUGCUCUACAUGAUGUUUGUUCUGGAACUGAGAAGACCUGAAAUUCAUUCUUGUUUGGCCAGUGAGCUAUUGAUGCUUGACAAAUCACUCCAAGCAUUAGUGUUUAAAAAUAAUUUCAUCUUUUAUAAUUCUGUGGAUAAGAGACUUGGGUAAGCCCAGUUUGGAAGAUGAAUGUCCGUGAACUCCGUUCAUCAAGGGGUGGCCAUGCCUUCCUUUCUCCAUGUGUUCUCUCCUAUGGACAUCCCUUCAGCCAGAAGGAGCAAGUCUUCUCCAUGGGAUUCCAAAAGCAUAAACUUAAAGUGGCCAUGUCCUCUUAAGGCUUCUCCCUGGGGGAAAUGCACAGGGUCAUUUCUACUGAAUGCUGUUCUCUGCAGGGUAUCACAGAGUCAAUAAAGAGCUCCAUGACAUGUGUCACCCAUGAGUGUGUGUCACCGGGAUCCUCUAGUAUGUGAUCUGCAGAAUGUCUUCUUCUUCAACUGGCAGUCAAAGAAAAAGGUUGGGCCGGUUCAACAAUCUGGUGCUU